UGGGGAAUCUUGCGCAAUGGGCGAAAGCCUGACGCAGCAACGCCGCGUGGGGGAUGACGGCUUUCGGGUUGUAAACCCCUUUCAGCAGGGACGAAAAUGACGGUACCUGCAGAAGAAGCCCCGGCCAACUACGUGCCAGCAGCCGCGGUAACACGUAGGGGGCGAGCGUUGUCCGGAAUUAUUGGGCGUAAAGAGCUCGUAGGCGGUUCGGUAAGUCAGGCGUGAAAUUUCAGGGCUCAACCCUGAGACUGCGCCUGAUACUGCUGUGACUAGAGUCCGGUAGAGGAGUGUGGAAUUCCUGGUGUAGCGGUGAAAUGCGCAGAUAUCAGGAGGAACACCAGCGGCGAAGGCGGCACUCUGGGCCGGUACUGACGCUGAGGAGCGAAAGCGUGGGUAGCAAACAGGAUUAGAUACCCCCGUAGUCC
Molecule: ribosomal RNA, 425 nt
Filed under: uncultured prokaryote
Description: bacterial SSU rRNA
Rfam family: Bacterial small subunit ribosomal RNA
Source: RNAcentral